RNAcentral lists this ribosomal RNA (253 nucleotides) under uncultured bacterium. RNAcentral describes it as "partial 16S ribosomal RNA". It matches the Rfam family "Bacterial small subunit ribosomal RNA", at positions 524 to 776 of the family's 1533-position model. The record is from RNAcentral.
UACGUAGGGUCCAAGCGUUGUCCGGAAUUAUUGGGCGUAAAGAGCGUGUAGGCGGUCUGGUUAGUCGGCUGUGAAAGUCAAGGGCUCAACCCUUGAAUGGCGGUCGAUACUGCCGGGCUAGAGUCCGGAAGAGGCAAGUGGAAUUCCCGGUGUAGCGGUGAAAUGCGCAGAUAUCGGGAGGAACACCAAUGGCGAAGGCAGCUUGCUGGGACGGUACUGACGCUGAGACGCGAAAGCGUGGGGAGCAAACAGG